Molecule: ribosomal RNA, 261 nt
Filed under: Triticum aestivum (bread wheat)
Lineage: Eukaryota; Viridiplantae; Streptophyta; Magnoliopsida; Poales; Poaceae
Description: partial small subunit ribosomal RNA
Source: RNAcentral
AUCGCCUGCCUUUGGUCAGAAGGGUUCCACACAACAUCGAGGAUCACCACACGCGAUGCUCCAAAGAGGGUGAUACCUUCUCCACACACUUUGGUCGAUGCAAGCAUCACCUUGGCCUCGCACUACAUAUCAUUGAAGUCCACCAUCAAGGCCUUGCGGGUUUUAACAUAGACAUUUCCACUCAUAUACAUGAGCUUGUUGCGUUUAGUGCAGUUGAACUCUUUCCAGAAACUGGCUAAACACAAGCACUCACUCUUUUAA